UUUCAAAUUUUUGCAUUGGCAUCUUUGGAUUUCAGUCUUGAUGUUUGUUCUGUCAGACUUACCUUUUAUUUCCUGUCCUUCCUUGAAAUUGCUGCUUGUUCUGCUCCCUCUACAGAUAUUUAUAUCAAUUCCUACAGCUUUCCCCUGCCAUCCCGGAACUCUUUCUAGCCCUUUUAGAUUUUGGCACUGUGAAACCCCUGCUGGAAACCUGAGUGACCCUCCCUCCCCACCAAGAGUCCACAGACCUUUCAUCUUCCAUGAACUUUAUGCUGUUAGCAGGUGGUAAUACCAUGGGUGCCGUGACACCAACAGUCAUUGCUUUAUCCUGUCUUUGGGGGAAAUGUGUCAAAAGUCCCCUCAGGAAUUUUCAGAGGAAGAAACAUUUUAUGAGGCUUUCUCUAAAGUUUCCUUUGUAUAUGAGUGUGCUCACUUAAAUUUACAGAAAGAGGUGAGCUGUGUUAAACCUCAGAGUUUAAAAGCUACUGAUAAACUGAAGAAAGUGUCUGUAUUGGAACUAGGGUCAUUUGAAAGCUUCAAUCUUGGAACAUGACCUUUAGUCUGUGGACUCCAUUUAAAAAUAGGUAUGAAUAAGAUGACUAAGAAUGUAAUGGGGAAGAAUUGCCCUGCCUGCCCAUCUCAGAGCCAUAAGGUCAUCUUUGCUAGAGCUAUUUUUACCUAUGUAUUUAUCGUUCUUGAUCGUAAGCCACUUAUUUAUAUCAUGUAUCUCUAAGGACCUAAAAGCACUUUAUGUAGUUUUUAAUUAAUCUUAAGAUCUGGUUAUGGUAACUAAAAAAGCCUGUCUCCCAAAUCCAGUGGAAACAAGUGCAUAGAUGUGAAUUGGUUUUUAGGGGCCCCACUUCCCAAUUCAUUAGGUAUGACUGUGGAAGUACAGACAAGGAUCUUAGUUGAUAUUUUGGGCUUGGGGCAGUGAGGGCUUAGGUCACCCCAAGUGGUUUGGGAAAGGAGGAGGGGAGUGGUGGGUUUAUAGGGAGAGGAGGAGGCAGGUGGUCUAAGUGCUGACUGGCUACAUAGUUCGGGCAAAUCCUCCAAAAGGGAAAGGGAGGAGUUGCUUAGAAGGAUGGCGCUCUCAGUGACUACUUUUUGACUUCUGUUUGUCUUACGCUUCUCUCAGGGAAAAACAUGCAGUCCUCUAGUGUUCAUGUACGUUCUGUGGGGGGUGAACACCUUGGUUCUGGUUAAACAGCUGUACUUUUGAUAGCUGUGCCAGGAAGGGUUAGGACCAACUACAAAUUAAUGUUGGUUGUCAAAUGUAGUGUGUUUCCCUAACUUCCUGUUUUUCCUGAGAAAAAAAAAUAAAUCUUUUAUUCAAAUA
Molecule: long non-coding RNA, 1333 nt
Filed under: Pongo abelii (Sumatran orangutan)
Lineage: Eukaryota; Metazoa; Chordata; Mammalia; Primates; Hominidae
Description: lncRNA (ENSPPYG00000030920.1)
Source: RNAcentral